RNAcentral lists this ribosomal RNA (500 nucleotides) under uncultured bacterium. RNAcentral's name for it is "partial 16S ribosomal RNA". It matches the Rfam family "Bacterial small subunit ribosomal RNA", at positions 30 to 523 of the family's 1533-position model. The record is from RNAcentral.
AUUGAACGCUGGCGGCAUGCCUUACACAUGCAAGUCGAACGGCAGCACGGGAGCAAUCCUGGUGGCGAGUGGCGAACGGGUGAGUAAAGUAUCGGAACGUGCCCAGUCGUGGGGGAUAACGUAGCGAAAGUUACGCUGAUACCGCAUACGAUCUAUGGAUGAAAGCGGGGGAUCGCAAGACCUCGAGCGAUUGGAGCGGCCGAUAUCAGAUUAGGUAGUUGGUGGGGUAAAGGCUCACCAAGCCGACGAUCUGUAGCUGGUCUGAGAGGACGACCAGCCACACUGGGACUGAGACACGGCCCAGACUCCUACGGGAGGCAGCAGUGGGGAAUUUUGGACAAUGGGCGAAAGCCUGAUCCAGCCAUGCUGCGUGCAGGAUGAAGGCCUUCGGGUUGUAAACUGCUUUUGUACGGAACGAAAAGGUUUGGCCUAAUAAGCUGAGCUCAUGACGGUACCGUAAGAAUAAGCACCGGCUAACUACGUGCCAGCCGCCGCCGUAA